Molecule: small nuclear RNA, 163 nt
Organism: Protopterus annectens (West African lungfish)
Lineage: Eukaryota; Metazoa; Chordata; Ceratodontiformes; Protopteridae
Product: U1 spliceosomal RNA
Exons: 1
Source: RefSeq, a predicted model, not a curated record
ACACUUACCUGGCAGGGGGAAAUACCACAAUCAAGAAGGUGGUUUCCUCAGGACGAGGAUCUUCCAUUGCAUACUUGGCUGGGUUGACCCCUGUGAUUUCCCCAAAUGUGGGAAACUGAACUGCACAAUUUAUGGUAGGUACAAGCCCACGGGUCAGUUCUAC